CCUACGGGCGGCAGCAGUGAGGAAUAUUGGUCAAUGGGCGCGAGCCUGAACCAGCCAAGUCGCGUGAAGGAUGACGGCCCUACGGGUUGUAAACUUCUUUUAUCGAGGAGUAAAGUGAGGCACGUGUGCCUUUUUGUAUGUACUUUAUGAAUAAGCAUCGGCUAACUCCGUGCCAGCAGCCGCGGUAAUACGGAGGAUCCGAGCGUUAUCCGGAUUUAUUGGGUUUAAAGGGAGCGUAGGUGGGUUUUUAAGUCAGGUGUGAAAGUGUGGGGCUCAACCGUAAAACUGCAGUUGAUACUGGCGGUCUUGAGUGCAGGAGAGGCAGGCGGAAUGCGUGGUGUAGCGGUGAAAUGCUUAGAUAUCACGAAGAACUCCGAUUGCGAAGGCAGCUUACUAAACUGUAACUGACACUGAUGCUCGAAAGCGUGGGUAUCAAACAGGAUUAGAUACCCCAGUAGUC
RNAcentral lists this ribosomal RNA (460 nucleotides) under uncultured bacterium. RNAcentral describes it as "partial 16S ribosomal RNA". It matches the Rfam family "Bacterial small subunit ribosomal RNA", at positions 338 to 795 of the family's 1533-position model. The record is from RNAcentral.